CUGGGGCCAGAGUCAGUUCCCUGCUGGCAGCCAGAGAGGCAGGAGCUCCCUAAGCUAGGAUGCAGGAAGAAGCCUGACUGCAGAUGCUGUGAGGCUGAACUUCUUCAGGGCUGCAAAGAUCUUUGGAAAGGACAAAGCAGCAACAUCGUAAUUAUUGCCCUGGGUCCCAGGCUGAAUCAGACUGGAGUUUGGAUUGGGAUUUGACAGCACUGCCAAUUGAGAGCCUGUCAGACCGAGUGACAGAAGAGCCAAGCUCCUGCCGAUGGCCCUGCUGUGGAAAGGCAGGAGCAAGACUGUACUGAGCUCUCGGGCUGACCCUUUCUGCCAAAACCCUUUCCUCUUGGCCAGGAAUUUCUCUAGCUGGGAAGCCCUUCUCUCUCCUGGAAGCUGCUUCCCCAGGUGGUAGAUGCAGCAGGGUUGGUGACCUGUCAGGACAGGAUAGAGGAAGGGCUGAGAUAGCGUUUGUCUUAAGGGUUUUUGAUGGUGUCAGAGCAUUUGAUGUCCAUGCCAGAGCUUUCUCAAGGAACUCACAUUUCUCUGGAAGCCCGAGACCACAGAGCCAGGUUAUAGUAAACACUCCUCAGGGUGAGCUGGGCAAUGACCCUUUGCAGAAACCCGAGCUUGUUUCGAGAAUAGCUGCAGGGAAAUGAGGUGAAUGGCUGGAACUGCUGUGGCUGGGGCAUGUGCUCUGGGCUGCAGGUGGGAGAGACCACAGUCAGUGACAAAUUUCAUCAGGAAAACUCAUCAAAACAGGAUUCUGCAGCAAGGUUACAGGAGGCCUGAGCUGAUAACAUGCUGUCAGCUGCUCCGGGGGAAGGUUACCGUGGCAUGAGGAAGCAGCUGGACUGGCUGACCUAGCACCUGGAGAAUCUGCUGCCUCUUCUGAUUUGGGGUUUGGGUCCAAGUCCCUCCGAAUCCCACUGAGCUCUACUGAUAUGUUUUCUUAUCUGAGAGCAGCAAAGAAGGAUGUACACAGAGGAAGGCUGGUUCAGUGGUUGGAUGUCAGCUGGAAUUUGGGAGUCUUGGAUUCAAGCCCCUGACCUCCACAGGCUUCCAGCAUGAACCUGGGAAAGUUGCUCUGUGCCUCAAUUCCCCCAUAGUAAGAUGAGGCUAAUAGUACUGACCAAUAUCAUAGGGUAUUGUGAGAAAAAAUCCAGAAAGUAUUGAGGUAGUGGGAUACUGGGAUGGUGGGGCCAAGUAAAUAACCAAGGUGGAUAGAAGCACUGAUUGAUUACGCUUCUCAGCCUUCUAGUGAAGCAAAGUACUAGGCUUGAUGCCCAAAUGAGCAUGCAGCCAACCAGUCACUGGGACAAUUAGAAUGGAGCUGAGGAGCCCUGAGCCCUAGACCUAUGCUCCAGCCAUUACACAUGCUCCUUCCAUGAACUGCUUAGGACCAUGACAGUCUGGCAGAUUCAUACUAGACAUGAGUAGGGAAGGCUUCUUCAGAGACAUGACUCAGGGCUCCUUGCAAACACAAAGACAUCAGCUAGAGCAGUGAUUCUCAACCAGGCUGCUAGACUCUUUGAAGGGUGUGAGGGGAUAGUCAGAUCACAGCAGGCUUGUGUUCUGCCUCUGUCCCCACUGGCAGGAGGUAAGCACUAUUGUAAUAAAUUAGUUUUUGAAAUGGGGUGCCCCUUGAUUCCCAUAAGUUGUGGAGGGUGCCUCGAGGCUCUUGAGGGGUGCCUCGAGUCUAAAAAGGUUGAGGGCCACUGAGCUACAAUAUCUAUUUACUACAGUGGGAAGGCAUUUGGGGUGGAGAGGUGCUGCAAGGAGCCUCUACACAGCAAGGGUAGGAUACAGGGACUAGUUUUGGAAGAGAGAGACUAUCUUAAGAGGCUGUAGAGCAAAACAGUGUCCUUAUCGUUCAUUCCAGGACUGAAAGACAUGGAGCCUGUUGGAUGACUGGUGACUAUGGAGUAAGGGCAGUAAUACACAGGAUGCAUGGUACCAGUGCUGUGCUCCAUGGGAGACUGUUCUAGUGACAGCAGCAUUAACACAUCAGGAAUCAGGGCCCAGAGCGUAAUGAUGUUCAUCUUUUUUUAUCUUGGAGUCCUCAAGCAAUGCAGGACUCUGCUUAUAGCCAUUCAUCCUGCUUGCCAAGCUUUUAAAAGCUUUCCUUUCCCUAUCUCCAGGAGGGCUAGGAACUUGGGGUGCCUAUAUAUGUGCAGCAAGGCUGCUCCAAUGUGCUGUAAUUACAGCUUGUUGGAAAAGACUUGAUUAAAUCGAGUCUGCCAGAGCAUUGUGUAACAGGGGGUCUUCCUGGGGCCAGUCUGCCAUUGGUCCGCCCACCUGUUUCUGGGCCAACUACCCACCUCACUCGCCUGCCAUGCCUUGUUUUUCCUUAAUCGAUUCUAAUUAGGAGGGAGGCUGCCCAUUCUUGCCCCAAUGCCAAGGGGCAGUACCUGUGGCUCUGUUCCUCCCCUACACUGCAGCCCAAGCCUCACAGAUGGCAUCCAGCUGACAAUGCUCAUGGCCUACAGCUGGACCAAGAUUAGCCCUCAUUGUCGGGCCUCAGACACACACACACAUUCAUACUGCCCACCUCUCAUGCUCCACCCCCUCUCACAGGGUCUCUUUCAUACAUCAAUAACUUUGGUCCCUCUCAGAGUGGGUCCCUUCAGCCAUAGGCUUUAUCUGAUGCACACCUUGGGUGGCAGAUGUACCAUCUUUUGGGCCUCUCCCACAACAAUCAUCAGGGUAGUGGCCAGCCAAUUACCUGACCAGGGCCAAGCCUGCCCUGGCUCCUCCCAGGGCAACUCUACACAAACUCACACACACAUACUAGGCUCCCAGCCCUCUGGUUUCCCCAUCACUGGGGCUCCACAUCCACCCUCUUACUGGGGGCCUACACUUACAAGGGCUCCACAUCUUCCACCCCUUCACUGGGGCUACAAGGCUUCCCUCCCAAGUGGGGGCUCAGGUGGCCAUAGCUUUGCCUGGCCCCAACUGCUACCCACAGUGAUGUGGGGUUAAGGGUUAUUGAGGCACUCCAACCCAUCUUCCACUGGGGUAGUAACUGGUCUGGUAUUUUCCUGGAGGCUCCCACACCACUGAAAGCCCCACCAGGUCACCUACUCCUGGCAGAGUGCACUUUUAGGUUAUGCCUAGGACCAAGAGCCUUCUGCUCCUACCUGCAGAUGUUCUCAUACAGCAGCUCAUUCAGGUAAUGUUUCCUACCUGGCUGCCAGCAGCAAUCUGCUCUGUUUAUAUAGGCAGCCAUGGUUCUAAAAUGGCCAGUGCAAUCAAACACCUGCUGGCUGCUUGACUUGGCCCUUAAAGUGGCAGGCACCAACAGCGCCCUGCCACACAUUGUAAUUACCAUGCUCCAGUAGAUUCCAGCAUCUUGUGUAUCAGUGUCCCCACACUGAAAAAUGGUGGUGGGGGUGCUUUAAUUAAAGCUCAUUCAACAAGCUUUACUUAAAUCUUCACCACCACUUUUUUUCAGUGUGGGGAUGCUCAUACACAAGAUACUCCAGGAGAUUAAAAUUAGAGUGGCUCUCGGAGCUGCUUUGAUUAAAGCACCCCCUCCUGCACUCCCAGAGCAUAUGUAUAAAUGCCCUUGGUUUCUUUUCAACUUCAUCAUCAUCACCUGAGUUCAACAGCUGGGGCUUUGCUGAAACUCACCAAUUAGUUGGAGACUUGAGAUGACACGCAAGAGCUAACAAUGCUGUGUGGGACAGCUCUUCAGAGCUGACUCAUUCUUCUUUGCAGCUAAGUCUCAUGAUGAGGAUCAAGAGCUUGGCUCUUGUCUGUGUCUCACAUUCUGGGCUAGAUCUGUGCCUCCUGGAGAGCCCUAGCUGGGAGGCUGGGAGGAAACACCCUCCAAGUCAGUCUGUGCAGGGUGAGCUUGUUUUGUCUCUCCUCUACAGAAGGGGCUACUAUCCUAGCCCUGAGCCUCGCUCUUGCAGAAGGCCUUCUUUGCUUAAGGCGUGUAUCUCUGCACUGGCAGGCAAACUCUUGGUGACCCCAUAGGCAGGUCCAUCCUUGCUUCAGCCUCUUUAGAUGUCUAGUAAGAAGGCUUCCCCAAUAAGAUGUGGCUCUGAGUACAAUUUGGAGCUACAAAGUGCUGGGAAAAGGGAAAAAAAGUGACAGCUGCCAGCACUAAAGACCACUCUUUCAGAACCCAGAUCUGCCCUCAACCUACCCAGUUCCAUGGGGACGCCAACUCAGCAGACAGCUUCAAGGUGGGUCCUCUGGGUGGGGAUAUAGUGAAGCAGAUGGUAGGGUCCCAUUCUGUAGAGCCCAGACAUUUGUGCACGUGCAGCAGUGGGGUACAGUCUGGGCUCCUGCAAUCCAUACAUGACUGUUGGCACAGUGCUGGCUGCCUUCUCCCAGGAUUUUAUGUUCAUUCUAGUGAUAAUUUUUCCCUAAAUGCCCAGCUUCUGGCGUCCUGUGAUGGAGUGGGAAUCUCAGCUUUCAAACAUGUGACCCAGAAAGAAAAGGAGAAAUUCCACAGUCAUUGUCAUGCUGGCUGAAGCGGGAAAGUGGCUGACUUGUGGUUUUUAAGCACUUGAGGGUUUGCAGGGUUGACUGUGCCUCCAGCUCCUGUUUUAUACCAGACCGUCCUGUUUUUAAAUCCUUUGUCCCCUGUCCUUUUCUGAAUGAGGAACAGACUGCAAAAAGUCCUGUUUUUCAGUUCACUGGUGGAAAUGCAUGUCAAUCAUUUGUCCUCACAAUUCUAUUGGCUGUGCCUAGAGGUAGGAGGCACAGCCAAGAGGAGAGGGGUCCCAAGCCAGCCAGGAAGAAAGGGAGGGAGGUAGAGGAUCCCAGGGGCUGGUUGCUUUGCACCUAUGCGAGAAGCCGCAGCUGCAGUGCGUGUGCAGGCACAGCGAGACCUGGGGCACUAUUGCACGUCUGAGCUCCCUGGCAUGUGUGGGUGGAGCUGGGCCCUGGGGGAGCUGAGCUGCCAGGGCGGGGCAGUUGGUCUGAACCCACACCCCACUUCACUGCCUCGGCACAAGGUAAUGGCCGGAGCACUGUAUUUGUGCCUGCUGGAACUCCAGUGGGACUGGGGCAGGCUCUUGUCACCAUCUUUGCACCCACAGAGCAACCCAGUGAGUCCCUAGGGUGUCCUGCUACGUACAGCACUGGAACCUGUCUCUCUCCUAGGGAAGGAAGAGAAGGUCCUGCCAGGCAGCUGGCUGCGCUGCCACAGGCAUCCAAUGCCCACUGAUCCCACUCAGCCCAGCUCUGACCAGUACGUGGUCAGGGCAGAUUCCUGGGUGCCCAGUGUCUGUACUGAAUACUGAUUGGGGGGAGGUGAGGUCCCUGUGCAAUGUGUGGCUCCCAAGUGUGGAGCUGGGCUGGAGCGAGACUGGAUCCCAGUGUGGGGAGGGGGUGCUCGAGCCUCACACCUGCUAUGCCCUGGUGUCUCAAGGCUGGACUGUCUGGAGAAGCCAGCAGAGCUGUGGGAUAUGUGAAACCAUGAGGUAGGGGGAGCCAGGAGGGGGAGAAGCAAAUUUAAAUUAGUUAUAAUAGUCUUAGUCAAUACUAAGUUUAUAGUAUGCAUGUUUAAUUAUCUAUUUGUAACGCUAUGGUUUUACUUUCUUAUUGUAUUUUACCUCUUAGUUUAUAUUUUAUUGUUUUUGUUGGUUUUAUUUUAUCGGUAAAGGAUUCAAAUGAAUAAAUAUGAUAAUAAAAAUGUUAUAAUAA
Molecule: long non-coding RNA, 5652 nt
Organism: Alligator mississippiensis (American alligator)
Lineage: Eukaryota; Metazoa; Chordata; Crocodylia; Alligatoridae
Exons: 2
Source: RefSeq, a predicted model, not a curated record